CAUGUGGUGUAAGAAGAAGUUUUAUUUCUGUAUGUGGUCAAAGAGCGGUGAGAACACAGUGAGGCACAAAGCAGGGGAGCCCAUGGGCUCUUGGGAAAUACACCUUAGAGCCUUCUAGGGGAGAGCGCACCAGCCUGCUGUGAACAUUUCAGCUCGUCAGCCUGGGAAGCAAAGACCGGGGUGUCCAAGAAAGGAUGCAUCAAGCUGGGGUUUUUCCUUGGCUUUUGGCUUCUUGUUUCCUCUGAAAUCACGUGUCUCAGCAUCAGGAGGCCAGGUCAGCAGCAGCCUCCAGAUCCCUGGCCACAGCCAGAGCGCCCGGACUGCAAACCACCAUCACCAUCGCAGGAGUCGGAGCUCUGGCGCCGGCAGCAGUGGGACCUGGGGCGCCUGUGGGGGCCUAGGCAGCAGUUGCCCUCGGACCUGGGAGCACAGCCCGAGGAGGCUGGAGGCAGACACCGUACUGGGCUCUUUGGGGGGCAUUUGGGGGAGGGGCACUUGGGAGGGGGCUGGCACUGCUGCUGGUUCUGCUGGCAGGACAUCUCAAUGGGAAGUCAGUGAGCCUGGACACAUUCAAGGAGAAAAGAUCAGUGCACAAGCUCCAGGCCAGUGUCUCCCCUGUGAGCGGUCUUACUAGGGCCUAUGCUCCUAAUCCCAGCUGCCUCCUGAGUUGUGAUGUUCAAGAGGAAAGCGGAAAUGGAUCUCAAGUUCAACUGACCUGGCAAGACAGUUCCCUCACUCUCUAGUCCUUCCCAGAACCAUGCUGUCAUCCUCUAAGUGGGCCCUGUAGAAACACAGAGGGAAAUACACCCACUGGGAAGUGACCCCUGGAGGAUGUCUCUGGUGCAUGUGUGUUUCAGGAUGAAGCGUGGGGGUGGUGCUGAGAGCCAUGUGUCCCAGACCCCAAUGCCUCCCACACUGGUCCUUGCUCACUGUCCCCUGCCCUGUUCCCAGUUGCCCCCCAAAGUCUGAUUCUUGCUGCCUCCAGAGACACCUCUGCUUUCCUCUUCCCCACCAACCCCAAGUUUGUCUCCACCACACUCCUAGCUGAGGCUCUGUCCCCUUCCAGUCACUCACCGCUGCAGUGGAGGCAGGAGAAGGAUGCUCC
RNAcentral lists this long non-coding RNA (1105 nucleotides) under Bos grunniens (domestic yak). RNAcentral's name for it is "lncRNA (ENSBGRG00000003199.1)". Lineage: Eukaryota; Metazoa; Chordata; Mammalia; Artiodactyla; Bovidae. The record is from RNAcentral.